GACGAACGCUGGCGGCGUGCUUAACACAUGCAAGUCGAACGGAAAGGCCCUGCUUUUGUGGGGUGCUCGAGUGGCGAACGGGUGAGUAACACGUGAGUAACCUGCCCUUGACUUUGGGAUAACUUCAGGAAACUGGGCCUAAUACCGGAUAGGAGCUCCUGCUGCAUGGUGGGGGUUGGAAAGUUUCGGCGGUUGGGGAUGGACUCGCGGCUUAUCAGCUUGUUGGUGGGGUAGUGGCUUACCAAGGCUUUGACGGGUAGCCGGCCUGAGAGGGUGACCGGCGACAUUGGGACUGAGAUACGGCCCAGACUCCUACGGGAGGCAGCAGUGGGGAAUAUUGCACAAUGGGCGGAAGCCUGAUGCAGCAACGCCGCGUGCGGGAUGACGGCCUUCGGGUUGUAAACCGCUUUCGCCUGUGACGAAGCGUGAGUGACGGUAAUGGGUAAAGAAGCACCGGCUAACUACGUG
Molecule: ribosomal RNA, 468 nt
Filed under: uncultured bacterium
Lineage: Bacteria
Description: partial 16S ribosomal RNA
Rfam family: Bacterial small subunit ribosomal RNA
Source: RNAcentral